CCAGACUCCUACGGGAGGCAGCAGUGGGGAAUAUUGCACAAUGAGGGAAACCCUGAUGCAGCGACGCCGCGUGGGUGAAGGAGUAUUUCGGUAUGUAAAGCCCUAUCGGCAGGGAAGAAGCAAGACGGUACCUGACUAAGAAGCCCCGGCUAACUACGUGCCAGCAGCCGCGGUAAUACGUAGGGGGCGAGCGUUAUCCGGAUUCACUGGGUGUAAAGGGAGCGUAGACGGCCAAGCAAGCCAGGGGUGAAAGCCCGGGGGCCAACCCCGGGACUGCCCUUGGAACUGCUUGGCUGGAGUGCGGGAGGGGCAGGCGGAAUUCCUGGUGUAGCGGUGAAAUGCGUAGAUAUCAGGAGGAACACCGGCGGCGAAGGCGGCCUGCUGGACCGCGACUGACGUUGAGGCCCGAAAGCGUGGGGAGCAAACAGGAUUAGAUACCCCUGUAGU
Molecule: ribosomal RNA, 447 nt
Filed under: uncultured bacterium
Lineage: Bacteria
Description: partial 16S ribosomal RNA
Rfam family: Bacterial small subunit ribosomal RNA
Source: RNAcentral